Molecule: non-coding RNA, 23 nt
Filed under: Cricetulus griseus (Chinese hamster)
Lineage: Eukaryota; Metazoa; Chordata; Mammalia; Rodentia; Cricetidae
Source: RNAcentral
AAUCUGAGGGUCCAGGGUUCAAG